AUUGAACGCUGGCGGCAUGCCUUACACAUGCAAAUCGAACGGUAACGGGCCUUCGGGUGCCGACGAGUGGCGAACGGGUGAGUAAUACAUCGGAACGUGCCCGAUCGUGGGGGAUAACGAGGCGAAAGCUUUGCUAAUACCGCAUACGAUCUACGGAUGAAAGCAGGGGACCGCAAGGCCUUGCGCGGACGGAGCGGCCGAUGGCAGAUUAGGUAGUUGGUGGGAUAAAAGCUUACCAAGCCGACGAUCUGUAGCUGGUCUGAGAGGAUGAUCAGCCACACUGGGACUGAGACACGGCCCAGACUCCUACGGGAGGCAGCAGUGGGGAAUUUUGGACAAUGGGCGCAAGCCUGAUCCAGCCAUGCCGCGUGCAGGAUGAAGGCCUUCGGGUUGUAAACUGAUUUUGUACGGAACGAAAAGCCUUCUUUUAAUACAGGAGGGUCAUGACGGUACCGUAAGAAUAAGCACCGGCUAACUACGU
RNAcentral lists this ribosomal RNA (481 nucleotides) under uncultured bacterium. RNAcentral describes it as "partial 16S ribosomal RNA". It matches the Rfam family "Bacterial small subunit ribosomal RNA", at positions 30 to 506 of the family's 1533-position model. The record is from RNAcentral.